CACAGAAAUAUGAUGCUGACCACCAAGAAGCUGGCGGGGGGGGGCAGUCUUUCCCCAGCAGGACUGUGUCACAACCCUAGGGUGAAGUCCUCAGAGUGAGGCAGCAGGGGCAGCUAAGAAGGCCACAGGAAGGUGAAGGACACCGGCUGCCCCCGGGGUGCUCAUCCUCUAUCAGGAGCCCACAGGAUCCACGCUCCCAUGAAUAGCAGGGCCUGCAAGUCCCACACAGGUCCAGAGGAGCACCUGGGGUAAGGAUGAGAAGGGGCCCAGAUAUGUCGGAAGAGGAGGCAGAAGUUGAGAAAAGCAAGGAAUUUGUAAGACAGAUUUAAAGGCAGGAAAGCAGAGCUCAGAAUCCUCCCUUGACCCUUAGGAAAACAUGCAAAUUGGGAUCUGGCCUGGACAUCUGACCUACAAGCAACUGAAAUCCAGGUCGGGCAGUCCUGUGUGGAUGAAAGCUAUUGAGGAUUUAGUCACCCCUUAAUUGUUAGACAAAGAAGUAUCCCAAUUCAGUACAACGGCAUAUGAAAAACCAGAUUUCAAAGUUUUGGAGGAGGUCAAAAGUGAAUCAUCAGAUUACUCAUGUAUGGAUGAUGAAAAUGAUCCAGCAUGGUAAAAAAGAUGUUUUCAUAACGUAAGAGUGAUGAUGAUGAUGAUGACGAAGACUCCAACUUCACAUUGGCCAUGUGAGCCAAAUUCUGGUGACAGCACAAUGGAGCAAAAAUCGACUGAUACAGACACAGGGAUUGCAGACCUCCUUGAUUCAGAUGACAGAGAAAAUA
Long non-coding RNA from Fukomys damarensis (Damara mole-rat), 779 nucleotides. RefSeq lists it as uncharacterized. NCBI's taxonomy places the organism in Eukaryota, Metazoa, Chordata, Mammalia, Rodentia, Bathyergidae. The transcript is spliced from 3 exons. The record is from RefSeq and is a predicted model, not a curated record.